Molecule: ribosomal RNA, 468 nt
Filed under: Helicobacter pylori
Lineage: Bacteria; Pseudomonadati; Campylobacterota; Epsilonproteobacteria; Campylobacterales; Helicobacteraceae
Description: bacterial SSU rRNA
Rfam family: Bacterial small subunit ribosomal RNA
Source: RNAcentral
UCCGGCCUGAGAGGGUGAACGGACACACUGGAACUGAGACACGGUCCAGACUCCUACGGGAGGCAGCAGUAGGGAAUAUUGCUCAAUGGGGGAAACCCUGAAGCAGCAACGCCGCGUGGAGGAUGAAGGUUCUAGGAUUGUAAACUCCUUUUGUUAGAGAAGAUAAUGACGGUAUCUAACGAAUAAGCACCGGCUAACUCCGUGCCAGCAGCCGCGGUAAUACGGAGGGUGCAAGCGUUACUCGGAAUCACUGGGCGUAAAGAGCGCGUAGGCGGGAUAGUCAGUCAGGUGUGAAAUCCUAUGGCUUAACCAUAGAACUGCAUUUGAAACUACUAUUCUAGAGUGUGGGAGAGGUAGGUGGAAUUCUUGGUGUAGGGGUAAAAUCCGUAGAGAUCAAGAGGAAUACUCAUUGCGAAGGCGACCUGCUGGAACAUUACUGACGCUGAUUGCGCUUAAGCCGUGGGAAAA